This 313-nucleotide ribosomal RNA is filed under the name uncultured fungus. Its description in RNAcentral is "eukaryotic LSU rRNA". The stretch from base 1 to 71 matches the Rfam family "5.8S ribosomal RNA", at positions 84 to 154 of the family's 154-position model. The record is from RNAcentral. Lineage: Eukaryota; Fungi.
GUGAAUCAUCGAAUCUUUGAACGCACCUUGCGCCCUUUGGUAUUCCAAUGGGCAUGCCUGUUUGAGUGUCAUGUUAACCUCACCUCCACAACUUGUUGUGGCCGGUGGAUUUGGAUGCUUGCCGUCGUUUGGCUCGUCCUGAAAUGCAUUAGCCUAGCAAAUUGCUGAGGCCUUCUGGUGUGAUAAUUAUCUGCGCCGUUGGGUCUUUAAGCUUGCUGGCUUACAGUCGUCCGUUCGCGGACAAUUCUUUAAUGCUCUGGCCUCAAAUCAGGUAGGACUACCCGCUGAACUUAAGCAUAUCAAUAAGGCGAGG